Manis javanica (Malayan pangolin) is the source of this 3387-nucleotide non-coding RNA. NCBI's taxonomy places the organism in Eukaryota, Metazoa, Chordata, Mammalia, Pholidota, Manidae. The record is from RefSeq and is a predicted model, not a curated record.
UAAGGGCUGUGCGCAUGCCCAGUGGGGAAGGACGCAGGAGGGGAACCUAAGGCACGGUGGUCAGCUGCUUCCCUGGGCUCUGCACUGGCUUACUUAGCACAAGCACAGCUGUGGGCAAUGGUCCCACCUGAGAACUUGGACACCUGGAUCUGGUGAUGUCACCUCCCUGGACAGGGGUUGUGUAACCCUGCCCAGAGCUUUGGGGGGCCAUGGUGUGGAAAACAAGUAGCUGGGGCAAGAUCCAGGCAGACCUCAGCUUCCACCUGCUUAUCAAACAAGGCUGUGCUGUGGCCUACAGCAUCGGUCGUACAGCCCAGCUAGGAGGGUCUGGCCGCAGGGAUCUCUCUUCCAACUGUCCCCCCGCCCACUGCCCCAAACCAACACACACGCUGCUUCCAGGUGGGGAAACUUGCCCGGACUGUGUCUCCUGUGCAGAGCCUCUGGUUGCAGCCCAUCUGGGGUGAACCCUCUGGACACAGUGCUGGGUGCGGAGAGGCACAGAGGCACGACAGCCCUCUCCCUCUCCGCCUGUCUUUCUCUCCACCCCCUCCCUCCCCCAGGAGAGAGCCCUAGACUGAUGGUGGAGCCCCCGAACUCACCUGGAGUGAGGGUGAGAAAGUUGGGGUGUGGGUGAAGGUGCUGCUACACAAAUGAAACUGAGGGUUGGAAGGACUCUUGGAGGAGAGCAGGGGCCUCCUCAGCACCCCCGCAGCGUGCCCUGUGCUCUCUGGAGGGACUUCUGGGGCCCCCACCUCAUCCCUCUCUGCAGUGUGGUUCCGGGGAAGCCCGUGCUGGACUCUUCUCUCUCAUCUCUCCUGGCUCAGCCCUGGGGCCCAGGGCCAUCCCUGCACUGGCUUCCUGCACUCAGUUACUCACUUGGGCAACACACAGAGACUGCUCAAGCCAAGCCAAGUUCUGGGGACAGAGAGCCUCCCUCAGACCCUGUGGGGUAGGGUUAUUGUCUCCAGCUGCAAGAUGAGAAGAGAUAGACCCAGAAGGUUUAUGUAACUGGCCCAGCGCUGUGGACUGGGGUUCCUUGGAGCAGAGCUGUGCCGCCUCCAUCUGACAGGUGAGCUGAAGUGGAAGUUCCGUGAAGACUGUCUUGGGUUUGAAGGCAGGCAGAGAGACGGCCGGAUGGAGCUCAGUGGGGAGGAGCCUUGCUCACAAACAGGAGCUAAAACACUACAAACAGUCGUCUCCUUCUGUAAAGAACAAAGCAAACCUGUCACACACUUAGAGCCUAGGGCUCUCAGGAGGUCAGUGGAUCCAACUCUGCCUCCAUUCAGCAGGUGGAAACAUUGGAGGUGGAAAAGGGGGGCUCUGCCACUGCACAAGGGUGCAUGGCGAGUGCUCCACCCCAGGAGAGGGGAGAGAGGGUAAGGCCUGGGCCUUUUGAAACUGUUUUGGCAAUAGUUCAUUGUGUUGCUUGCCUUCUUGCGUUUUUCACUGACAGACAUUUUUUUGAGCAGCUUUAGGUUAUAGAAAAAAAUGAGUGGAAAGUAAAGAGAUUUCUCCUUUAUCUGCCCUGCCUGCUCCCAGUUUCCCCUAGAAGUAACACCUUGCUUUAGCAGGUACAUAUUUUACAAUUGGUGAACCAGUGUUGAUACAUGUUUAUUAACUAAAGUGCAAAGUUUACAUUAGGAUUCACUCUCUAUGUUGUAUGUUCAGUGGGUUUUGACAAAUGUACAUGCUGUGUAUCCACUGUUACAAUAUCAUACAUGAAAGUGUCGCUACCCUAAAAAUCCUGUAUGCUCCACCUGCUGUCUCUCUCCUCCCAUCCCCACUGCUCUGAACUCCUGGCAGCCACCAAUGUUUUUACUGCCUCUAUAGUUUUGUCUUUUCCAGGAUGUCACAUAGUUGGAAUUAUAAAGUAGGUAACCUUUUCAGAUUGGCUUCUUUCCCUUAUCAAUAUGUAUCUAAAGUUCCUCUAUGUCUUUUUGUGACUUUGGUAAUAAUCAUUUAUUUUAAUGCAUGGCCAUUUCACUGUGUUAAUCACCUUGUCUAAAAAAUGUGGUAAAAUAUACAUAACAAAUUGACCAUUUGGGCCAUUUUAAAGCGUGUGAUUCAGUGGCAUUAAGGAUAUUCACACUGUCAAACCAUCACUAGUAUCCAUUUCUAGAGCUUCUUUGUCAUCCCAGGCAGAAGCCCUGUGCUCAUUAACCAAUACUUCUCCAUUCUUCCCUCCUUCCCAGCCCCUGGUAACCUCUGUUACACGUUCUGUCUCUAUGAGCUCGCCUAUUCUAGGUACCUCAUAUAAGUGGAAUCAUACAAUAUUUGACCUUUUCUUAUCUGGCUUAUUUCACUUAACAUUAUGUUUUCAAGUUUUAUUCAUGUCGUAGUAUGCAUCAGCAUGUCAUUCUUGUUUGUAGCUGAAUAAUAUUCCAUUGCAUGUCUAUGCCACAUUUUGUUAAUCCAUUCAUCUGUUCCUGGGCACCACCAUUGCUUCCAUGUCUUAACUAUUGUGAAUAACACUGCUAUCAACAUUCCUGUAUAGACAUUUGAACACCUGUUUUCAAUUCUUUUGGGUAUAUGCCUAAGAGUGGAAUUUCUGGGUCACAUGGUAAUUCUAUGUUUAGCUUUUUGAGGGACCACCAGACCAUUUUCCACAGUGACUGCAUCAUUUUAUAUUCCCACUAGCAAUGCAUAACGCACAGGUGUUAAAAUUUCUCCACUAUUUUUCAUUUUUUAAAAAAAAUUGAGAUACAUUUGGCUUGUAGUAUUUUAUUGGUGCCAGGUAUACAACCUAAUGAUUUGAUACUUGCAUUAUUAGGAAAUAAUCACCACAAGUCUAGUUAACAUUUAUCACCAUACAUAGUUACAAUUUUUUUUCUUGGGGUGAGAACUUUUAAGAUUCACUCUUUUUUUUCCUGAGCCAGGAGAAGAUCUAAUCUUUAGCAACUUUCAAAUAUGCAAUAUAGUAUUAUUAAUUACAGUCAUCAUUCUAUACAUUAUAUCCCCAGGAUGUAUUUAUUUUAAACCUGGAAGCAUGUACUUUAAACCACUUCACCCAUUUCACCCUCCCCACAACCCACUGGCAACUACCAAUCUGUUUUCUGUACCCAUGAGCUCACUUUGUUUAGGGGUUUUAUUUUUUAGAUUCCACAUAUACCUGAGAUAAUAUAGUACUUGUCUUUAUCUGACUUAUUUCACUUAGCAAAAUGAUCAUAGGCCCAUCUAUGUUGCAAAUGGCAAGAUUUCCUUCUUCUUUUAUGACCAAAUAAUAUUCCAUUGUGUAUAUUUAUCACAUUUUCUUUACCCGUUCAUCUGUUGUUGGACAGUUAGAUUGCUCCCGUUUCUUGACUAUUGUAAAUAAUGCUGCAGUAAACAUAAGAAUGCAUAUAUCUUUUUGAAUUUGUGGUUUUGUUUUAUUCAAAUAAAUUCCCAGAA